Molecule: non-coding RNA, 439 nt
Organism: Apodemus sylvaticus (European woodmouse)
Lineage: Eukaryota; Metazoa; Chordata; Mammalia; Rodentia; Muridae
Source: the annotation of a RefSeq genome assembly
GACAUCUUCAUAAACCAGUCACGCAUAUACAGUGCCAUAGUCAUUGCAGUCAGGACUCAGCAUGGACAAGAGGGCCCCUGCUCAGUUUCUUGGGUUCUUCUUGCUCUUGUUUCCAGGAACCAGAUGCGACAUACAGAUGACUCAGUCUCCAUCCUCCAUGUCUGCUUCUCUGGGAGAGAAAGUCAGUCUCAGUUGCAGGGCAAGUGAGAACAUAAACAGUGAUUUAAGCUGGUACCAGCAGAAACCAGGAAAAUCUCCCAAGCUCAUGAUCUAUGAUGCAACCAACCGGGAAGAUGGGGUCCCAUCCAGGUUCAGUGGCAGUGGGUCUGGGUCAGAUUAUUCUCUCACCAUCAGCAAUGUGGAGUCUGAAGAUAUGGGAGUCUAUUACUGUCUACAGUAUGAUGAAUACCCUCCCACAAUGAUACAAGUCAUAACAUAA